RNAcentral lists this ribosomal RNA (271 nucleotides) under uncultured Oscillibacter sp. Its description in RNAcentral is "partial 16S ribosomal RNA". It matches the Rfam family "Bacterial small subunit ribosomal RNA", at positions 66 to 339 of the family's 1533-position model. The record is from RNAcentral. Lineage: Bacteria; Bacillati; Bacillota; Clostridia; Eubacteriales; Oscillospiraceae.
ACUUCGGUCAAAUGACUUUUGAACUUAGUGGCGGACGGGUGAGUAACGCGUGAGCAACCUGCCUUUCAGAGGGGGACAACAGUUGGAAACGACUGCUAAUACCGCAUGACACAUAGAGAUCGCAUGGUUUUUAUGUCAAAGAUUUAUCGCUUCAAGAUGGCCUCGCGUCUGAUUAGCUAGUUGGCGGGGUAACGGCCCACCAAGGCGACGAUCAGUAGCCGGACUGAGAGGUUGAACGGCCACAUUGGGACUGAGAUACGGCCCAGACUCC